GAGCGUCAGCGAGAAAGCGUUGCCGCAGGCAACGACCCGAAGGGCGAAGCGCGCAGCGCUGAGUCAUCCUUCCCCCAUCACCA
This 83-nucleotide small RNA is filed under the name Salmonella enterica. RNAcentral's name for it is "partial RtT sRNA". It matches the Rfam family "RtT RNA", at positions 50 to 130 of the family's 130-position model. From Rfam's summary of the family: This family represents a bacterial cis-regulatory element known as RtT RNA. The exact function of RtT is unknown although it is thought that it may be involved in changing the cellular response in relation to amino acid starvation. Lineage: Bacteria; Pseudomonadati; Pseudomonadota; Gammaproteobacteria; Enterobacterales; Enterobacteriaceae. The record is from RNAcentral. RNAcentral also lists the same sequence under 1 other name.